This 253-nucleotide ribosomal RNA is filed under the name uncultured bacterium. RNAcentral describes it as "partial 16S ribosomal RNA". It matches the Rfam family "Bacterial small subunit ribosomal RNA", at positions 524 to 776 of the family's 1533-position model. The record is from RNAcentral.
UACAGAGGUCUCAAGCGUUGUUCGGAUUCAUUGGGCGUAAAGGGUGCGUAGGCGGCGCGGUAAGUCGGGUGUGAAAUUUCGAGGCUUAACUUCGAAACUGCAUUCGAUACUGCCGUGCUUGAGGACUGGAGAGGAGACUGGAAUUUACGGUGUAGCGGUGAAAUGCGUAGAUAUCGUAAGGAAGACCAGUGGCGAAGGCGGGUCUCUAGUACGGUACUGACGCUGAGACGCGAAAGCGUGGGGAGCGAACAGG